Molecule: ribosomal RNA, 117 nt
Organism: Capra hircus (goat)
Lineage: Eukaryota; Metazoa; Chordata; Mammalia; Artiodactyla; Bovidae
Source: Ensembl
AUCUAUGGCUAUGCCACCCUGAAUGCACCUGAUCUUGUCUAAUCUCAGAAGCUAAGCAGUGUCAGGCCUGGUUAGUACCUGGAUGGGAGGGGUGGCAUGCUCAAAGUGACACAGAAA